AGUGGAUUUGGAUGAGAGGGGAGGUGGAAAGGAACUGGGAGGGGCAGAGGGAGAUGAAGACAUAAUCAGGAUUUAUUAAGUGAGAAGUAAAAUGAAAUUUUUUAAAUAAAAAAUUGUAUUUACUUGCAAUCAUUUGGAAUGUCAACAAAACAGCGGGGUUAAUUUUAAUUUUAAUUUUUGUUAUUACAGAGUGGUAUUCAGUUAGCAGAAGAACAAUUUGUAUAAGCUGCAUCACAGUCAACUGAAGAGGAGAUAAACAAAACAAAACCGAGCAUCCCCCCUUCUCCCCCCAAACACCACCACCCCCACAUAGUUGUGCUGUGCACCAAUAAGAACCUGCUUUAAAUUUCCAUGCCAAUUUUCAAACCUAGGAUUGUCCUGGGCAAAGUCAGUGGCUAUUGAAAAUAUCACCAGAACAGAGUUAUCUAAAGUCAUUUGGCAGUAUGUUAACAACACAAAAAAGGCACUGCACAGUUUAAAAACAAAUCUGAACACAACUUUACAUUUCAAUUUCUUUUCUUUAAAAGGAGUGAAUUGUGAACUGGGGUUGGGGUGGGGUUAAAUACUUUAUAGAUCUGAAAAAUGCACUGGAACCCAUUUUGGCCUCAUCAUCAACUUCAUCUUCUUCCUCCUCCUCCUUGUUCUCUUCCCCUCCCUUCUUUUUACUUGCUCUUUCAGCCUCGAUGAGCCCCUUUCCCCACUGCGUACAGUUUUCCUUUAGCUCUGUUGACUGCAACAUCCUUCUAGUGUUUUCCCUUCCGCUUGGCAUCCUUCUAGUUACAAGGCUGCUUGUUACCUGCAGCUGUGCUGUUCUACAGUUCCCCGAAUUUCUUUGCGACAUCACCAGUGGUCCAGCCAGGAUGUUCUCCUUCGACUUUUCGAUAAUAUUCAGAACAGAACAAGAAGAAGGCAGAAAGAGGCAGCUGGUGUGCACUGGGAUCCUUGGACCUCUUUUUGAUCUUCUCUUUGGGUGGGGAGAUGUAGGUUGUCAUGCCAGCCUAUGCCAUGUCUUCACAUUUUCCCUUAUCUUUAGCAGACUUGGUUUUCUUCAUCUCUGAGCACUUCUUAUUAAACUCCGAGGAGCUGACAGAAGCCAUCCGGCGCUUCUUGUUCUCUUCCCAGCAGGUUUGCACCCACAAAAAAUGCAUAUGAAGACAUUUUCCCUCUCGGCUCCUUUGCUCAGUUACUUUUCCUCGGAGAGGCACAGAGUCUCCCUCCAGUUCUCACUCUGGCAGGCUGUCUCUACGGAGCUGAAAGUCCUGUCCCCCACAAAUCUAUUUUCAACAAAAGAGGGAGAAAAGAAAGAAAAAAAAAGUUAUCUUAAACUUUGCUCCAAUGGGAAGGGAUUUUUCUUUUGUUUAAAACAUUAUCAACAAUUCUGUUAUUUAAUAUGUAAAAUUUUGAGAUUAGAGAGGCGGAUCAGCUCUUUAGAGCACUUUCUAACCCUUCUAGAGGACCUGUGUUUGAUUCACAACAUCCACAUGGUGGCUCACAACUGUCUGUAACUCUUGAUUCAGCCGAUUUAACACCUUCUUCUGGCAUGUUGGCAUCAGGCACACAUGUGGUGUACAGACAUACGUGCAGGCAAAACACUUAUACACUUAAAGAAUGGACUUUAAAAUGCUUAAAACAAAAAAAUGAAACACAUAUAACAUGGAAAUUGUAUUAUUAUUUAAAAUAAAGUAUUUUUUUAAAUACAAAAAACCAAAGUAAUCCUUGUGAGAAACAGGAAAAGAAAGGAAGAAAAUGUGUGACAAUUGAAGAAAUCACAGGUUGGGAAAAAUUUUGGCUCAGUGAGAAUCUACUUCUACCAAUUAAAAAAAAAUAACUCAGCAAGAGUCCCACAAUAAAACUUCCCAUCUACUGAUGGGACCAGGCACAUCAUUGUCCUAUAAAGAGAAGAAAGUUUUAAUUUUAGUUUUAUCAAGACUUCUAUCACUCUUGGGUAAAAAUAUCUAUGAAACAUCCAAUUAGCUUCUAUCAGUUGGUUAGCCGUUUUAUACAGUCAUUUACUUGGUGUUUCUGUGGCUUGUUGUUACAUGUUUUAAAUAUGUAGUUAGUUUUUUUUUUUUAAUUGGCUCUCUGUCUCAGUUUCUAUUCAUAAAAGAGUCUGAAGACUUAAGACUUAAUAUCACUAAAGUUUUAUCCUUACACGAUCACACUUAAAUGUAGAUCUAGUUUUAUGUUUGUCCUACUUAAAGUGGUUUGAAUAUGGGCAAGUAGUCAAAGAACACAUUGGCACCUCAAACCCCAGUUCAUGUGCAGCAUCAGUGAAGACAGGGAUUGCCAGACCUUUGCAAGGAACAGCAUAAUGGGAGUCAUCGACAGUUUAAUGAGAUUAGGGAAAAUGAAGCAGAUACAGCUAGAAACACAGGACUCAUUGUAGAAACAAUGAGACUCAGACAGAAAUAAUAGAGCAGAGACUUUCUGUAGUUGGAGAGCAGAAAUGAAGACAGCAUCCUCACCUACCUGGGCCAGGUAGGGUCCACCAUUCCUACUGAGAGGGGCUGCCAAAUGCUUAAAGACCUUCUUAUAGUAGGGCUACUGCAUAACUACAAAAGGGUUUCUAGCACCUUAAGGUUAUCUAUGUAGGAAGGCUUUUUAAAUGAACUACCUGAUAUUUGCUUAAUAUCAACAUUAUGAUGUUAGGAACCUAUCAGUGGCUUUGAGAUGCAAAGAAUAACCAUCAUUCUAAGUAUUUGCUUAUUAGUAGAUCAUGAUAAAAAGCAUAUGCAUUUAAUAAAAUGAAUUUCUCCAAGUACCUGGACAGUGCAGACUCCAACAAGACCCUUAAAACUCCUUUGUGAUUUCAUUAUGAAAAAAUAUCUCUAGAAGUUUUCAACAAUGCUUUAAAUAUGAUCAGGUAUAGGCAGAAGAAACACAAAAUAGCUCAAUGGUAAAUAAGGUAUUAUAGUUGGAAUAAAACUUAUUACCAUAAUACAAGGAGCAUGAAUUAAAAUGUCUUUUUUCAUGCCUCGUGGAAGACUCACCCUCAUGUUUAUUCUUAUUGAUAAUUUUGACACUAUUAUAAUUCUUGUUUCUAUUCUUAUUCUUACAUUAACAAUAGAUCCUUUCCAGAAUAUUUUUUUGAGGUAUAGUUAAGCUACACCAUACACACUACUUUGUUUCCAUCUUAAACUUGUGAUAACCUAAUCAGACUCAGCUGGAAAUCAAUGUCCUUCUAAACUCACCAAUCUGGAAGGCCUGGGCAUGGCUGUGAUGGAAUACCAGACAGAAAAACUUAAGAAAGAAGGGUUUAAUUGUCUCCCAAGAGGCUUCAUCCAGCACUGGAUGGAAACAUAUGUAGAGACCCACAGCCAAACAUUAGGCAGAGCUCAGGGAGUGGUGUGGAAGAGUAGGGGAUAGGACUGAGCUGGAGAGGUUAAAGACACCUUCAGAAAACCUAUAGAGUCAACUAACCUGGUCCUAUAGGGGCUCACAGGGACUGAACCACCAACCAAAGGGCAUGUAAAGGCUGGAGCUACACAUUUGUAGCACAUGUUCAGCUUGGUUUUCAUGUGGGUCCUCUAACAAUUGGAGUGGGGACUGUCUCUGACUCUGUUGCCUGCCACUGGGCCUCUUCUCCUAGCAGGAAUGCCUGGUUGGGUAUCAGCUGGACAGGAUGCACUUAGUCCUACUGAAACUUGAUGUUCCAGGGCAGGUGGGUACCUAAGGGGGGAAUUCUUCUCUGAGAAGAAGCAGGCAUAAUGGGAGGAGGGAUUUGUGAGGGUGGAACUGGGAGGAGAGGCACUACUGGGAUGUAAAGAAAUGAAUAAGUUAAUGGAGAACAGAAGGAAGUAUUUACUUAUUUUGUUUCAUGAUUUCAGGUCUCAGUCCAUCCAUGAUUGUGCAGGCAUGACAGUUGACAACAUCUUGAUCCAUGCUGACAGGAGCUCCAUCUGCUACAGUGUGCACAGUUUCCAGAAAAGCGCCAGACAAGCUGUGGAUCAGGCAUUCAACAUAUGAGCCAAUGGGAGAGCAGUAUGGAUUCCCGGCAUAAUAACUACCGUCUGAAUGGUUGCCCAGGAUAACAACUGAAUGUUGGGAAAAUUUGAAGUUGCCCUUUUUGGGUCAGAGUUGGUGCUCCACUGACUUUCUGUAGACAGACAUUCAUAUCGAUAUGGGAAGGUUUCGCUUAUGGCCCUAAAUGAAACCAUCACUUCAUUUCCUGAAUGUAGGUCAAUCAGUCUUCCUGAUUUCUAUAAGAAUUUUGGCAUGCUUCCAGAAGAAAUUCAUCAUGGAAAGGAAAUGUACAAACGGCUCGUUUCUCUUGCCCCUAACUAGAAGUUUCUGACAAUGACCUGAAAGAAGAGGAAGGGCAUUUGUCUCUUUGUCAAGUUGUCGAGGAAACAUCGCAGAUCCUCUGGGAGUGAGGGCAGAGUUGGGAACUCAGAAGAUUGGCCAGCCAUGUCCUCUAUCUGAUUCCACUGACCAGUUGCUGCUGACAGCUUCCGGUGCCAGCAGAGGCCAGCCAUGUCCUCUGCCCAGUUCCGCUGACCAGUUGCUGCUGACAGCUUCCGGUGCCAGCAGAGCCAGUUUUCUGUCUUGGGUAUAUCAAAAUGUCACACUUUCUCCAAUUCUGACAGUCAGUCCACAGUUUGCCCUAAAUGUUUCCAUUUUAGGCCUGCAAGUUAAUAGGAGCAUAGCUUGCUACAUGCAAAACACAUUUGGACUAAUAAAAAAUGGAUGAGACCACCUGGCUGAAUUUCUCUUCAUCUAGACCUUGGGCUCAGUUUCUGCCCCAUUUAUUCAAGGUUGGGGCUGAAUCCUCCUUGCCAAGUAUAACAAGUGUGAUCAUUUCUGGUUUUUUUUUUUUUGUGUGUGCACAUUUUUCACUUCAGUCCAAGUGGACACUCAUCGAAGCAAAUGUAAACCCUAAUGUUUAAAGACUGCGUCCUAUUCACGCAUUCUGCCGGUAGGUGGCAGUAGUACAACACACAAAAAGUUAACGUGCUAAGUGGCGUCAAGAGAAUGAUGAUGGGGAUGAAGAUGAUGGUGAUGAUGACGACCACAACGUCUAUGACAAAGGACCAAUCAUUCAUCCUUAGAAGGCACUGUUUACAUUCUAAGUUUUGUGAUGUUUUCUCAGUAUUGUUAUUAUUACUACUUACAAUAUACCUGAAAUGGGAGAUGAAA
Molecule: long non-coding RNA, 5136 nt
Organism: Mus musculus (house mouse)
Lineage: Eukaryota; Metazoa; Chordata; Mammalia; Rodentia; Muridae
Product: predicted gene, 40548
Exons: 3
Source: RefSeq, a predicted model, not a curated record